This 899-nucleotide ribosomal RNA is filed under the name Pseudomonas aeruginosa. RNAcentral's name for it is "bacterial SSU rRNA". It matches the Rfam family "Bacterial small subunit ribosomal RNA", at positions 47 to 943 of the family's 1533-position model. The record is from RNAcentral. Lineage: Bacteria; Pseudomonadati; Pseudomonadota; Gammaproteobacteria; Pseudomonadales; Pseudomonadaceae.
CGGCUACCAUGCAGUCGAGCGGAUGAGGGAGCUUGCUCCUGGAUUCAGCGGCGGACGGGUGAGUAAUGCCUAGGAAUCUGCCUGGUAGUGGGGGAUAACGUCCGGAAACGGGCGCUAAUACCGCAUACGUCCUGAGGGAGAAAGUGGGGGAUCUUCGGACCUCACGCUAUCAGAUGAGCCUAGGUCGGAUUAGCUAGUUGGUGGGGUAAAGGCCUACCAAGGCGACGAUCCGUAACUGGUCUGAGAGGAUGAUCAGUCACACUGGAACUGAGACACGGUCCAGACUCCUACGGGAGGCAGCAGUGGGGAAUAUUGGACAAUGGGCGAAAGCCUGAUCCAGCCAUGCCGCGUGUGUGAAGAAGGUCUUCGGAUUGUAAAGCACUUUAAGUUGGGAGGAAGGGCAGUAAGUUAAUACCUUGCUGUUUUGACGUUACCAACAGAAUAAGCACCGGCUAACUUCGUGCCAGCAGCCGCGGUAAUACGAAGGGUGCAAGCGUUAAUCGGAAUUACUGGGCGUAAAGCGCGCGUAGGUGGUUCAGCAAGUUGGAUGUGAAAUCCCCGGGCUCAACCUGGGAACUGCAUCCAAAACUACUGAGCUAGAGUACGGUAGAGGGUGGUGGAAUUUCCUGUGUAGCGGUGAAAUGCGUAGAUAUAGGAAGGAACACCAGUGGCGAAGGCGACCACCUGGACUGAUACUGACACUGAGGUGCGAAAGCGUGGGGAGCAAACAGGAUUAGAUACCCUGGUAGUCCACGCCGUAAACGAUGUCGACUAGCCGUUGGGAUCCUUGAGAUCUUAGUGGCGCAGCUAACGCGAUAAGUCGACCGCCUGGGGAGUACGGCCGCAAGGUUAAAACUCAAAUGAAUUGACGGGGGCCCGCACAAGCGGUGGAGCAUGUG